GACGAACCGUGCGAACGUUGUUCGGAAUCACUGGGCUUAAAGGGCGCGUAGGCGGGAAGGAAAGUCAGAUGUGAAAUCCCUGGGCUCAGGAACUGCAUUUGAAACUCCCUUUCUUGAGUACCGGAGAGGAAGGUGGAAUUCCUGGUGUAGCGGUGAAAUGCGUAGAUAUCGGGAGGAACACCGGUGGUGUAAACGGCUUUCUGGACCAUAACUGACGCUGAGGCACGAAAGCGUGGGUAGCAAACAGG
RNAcentral lists this ribosomal RNA (248 nucleotides) under uncultured bacterium. Its description in RNAcentral is "partial 16S ribosomal RNA". It matches the Rfam family "Bacterial small subunit ribosomal RNA", at positions 524 to 776 of the family's 1533-position model. The record is from RNAcentral.